UGCCGGCGUGGUGGAAUGGUAGACACGGUAGACUCAAAAUCUACUGUCCGCGAGGAUGUAAGAGUUCAAGUCUCUUCGCCGGUAU
This 85-nucleotide transfer RNA is filed under the name Spirochaetia bacterium. RNAcentral describes it as "tRNA-Leu". It matches the Rfam family "tRNA". Rfam says of the family: Transfer RNA (tRNA) molecules are approximately 80 nucleotides in length. Their secondary structure includes four short double-helical elements and three loops (D, anti-codon, and T loops). Lineage: Bacteria; Pseudomonadati; Spirochaetota; Spirochaetia. The record is from RNAcentral.